Molecule: long non-coding RNA, 1009 nt
Organism: Phyllopteryx taeniolatus (common seadragon)
Lineage: Eukaryota; Metazoa; Chordata; Actinopteri; Syngnathiformes; Syngnathidae
Exons: 4
Source: RefSeq, a predicted model, not a curated record
CCGCCCUGCGCCCCACCCUUCUUGAAUCAGGAAAAUGUGUUGGAUUAGUUCCGUGCUGCGCGGGACACCCUGGACUCCCUCAAUGAAGAGAAUUGGAUUGGACCUGGACUUCCUGGACCCGAAUGGUCACAGCUAUAAAAGAACCUUGUUGUUGGCGGGGAGUGCACAGACACGAUCUGACUCACCUCUCGUAACUCAGCAACAGCACGACCAUCAGAAUGAGUAUGACAGGAGCCAAAACGUACACAAUUAUCACAAACAUGGAACCACUGACUUGGUCACAUUCUGUGAUACAGAGAAAAAGAGAUCACAGGAUCACUCCAGUCACUCCAGUCAGAAGCCCCGCACGUUUCAUCCAAUCUGCUUCUCACCUGAAGCUCAUACCGGGAACAAUUGGAUGGCCAGUUGAUGCAGUAAUUUUUCUUCCCAGAAUAGACUUUGUAUGUCUGCGGAAAGUCCAAUGUAUUUCAAAUGGAAAGUUGGCUCGUCCCUGUUUAUUUCCCUGAGGUGGUGCAAAAGGGAGUUCAGCAAGGAGGCAUGCACAUGUAAUCCAGUCAUCAGCUCCCAGUCAUUAGCUCUACGGCCACAUCAGGAAGGCGCCAGAUCGUUUCUUUGUCUUUGUUGUGCUGCAUUCUGUCUUGCACUCAUAUUAGAUUUCUGCUCCUCGUUGGUUUUCUGUGCUCUUUGUUUCUCCCAGUAAGUUCAGGCAUUUUCCUCCUACUACUCCUUGCUCUGCUUCUUCUUAGUUUAGUCACUGCUUGUUCCAACUUUUGUAUUUUUUUUUCUCUGCUAUUUCUCCCUACUUGUUAGUAGUGCUUCAUUAAUUAGUAUGUUCUUGUAUACUUUUAUAUACUAUUUUUUUUCUACUCAUCUGUAGCACUUUUUUAGUCUUUUCAUUUAUACUUUGUAUAUGACAAUUUUAUCAACUCAAUAGUAGCGCUUUAUGUUACCAAUUUUUUCUGACUUUGUACUUCAUUAGAAUAAAGACUAUUUAUUUUUACUGCUUCAA